AUACGUAGGUGGCAAGCGUUGUCCGGAAUUAUUGGGCGUAAAGGGCGUGUAGGUGGAUCUUUAAGUCUUGUGUCUAAGAGCGGUGCUCAACGCCGUAUGGGCGCAGGAAACUGGAGAUCUUGAGUGCAGGAGAGGAAAGUGGAAUUCCCAGUGUAGCGGUGAAAUGCGUAGAUAUUGGGAGGAACACCAGUGGCGAAGGCGACUUUCUGGACUGUGUCUGACACUGAGGCGCGAAAGCCAGGGGAGCGAACGGGAUUAGAUACCCCGGUAGUCCUGGCCGUAAACGAUGGGUACUAGGUGUAGAGGGUAUCGACCCCCUCUGUGCCGGAGUUAACGCAAUAAGUACCCCGCCUGGGGAGUACGGCCGCAAGGUUGAA
This 377-nucleotide ribosomal RNA is filed under the name uncultured bacterium. RNAcentral describes it as "bacterial SSU rRNA". It matches the Rfam family "Bacterial small subunit ribosomal RNA", at positions 523 to 898 of the family's 1533-position model. The record is from RNAcentral.